Long non-coding RNA from Clupea harengus (Atlantic herring), 567 nucleotides. NCBI's taxonomy places the organism in Eukaryota, Metazoa, Chordata, Actinopteri, Clupeiformes, Clupeidae. The record is from Ensembl.
GCCUCUGGGCGGCGCUCUAGGCAACCACCUAUGUCGCCUGUAUGAAGGACCGGCCCUGCGUAUGGGUGUAGAGAGGAGGAUUGAUGGGGGUGCGAUGCCGUCCAUUGCUCAAAAGGGCAUUCAUGCAGCUGCAAAUUAUCGAUACAUUGCUAGGCGCAACAACGGAUGUCAACAUGAUAAAGGCCCAGUUGCCACCAGAAUCUCUGGCCACGUAAGGCUAACCAGUAGAUGUUUUGGCGGCAGCACUCCAAAACAUUGGGCCAAUCGCUGUUGCUGUGGAUGCUGGGGAAAAAAAGCUUCCAACUCUACCAAUCAGGUAGGCUAUCUAUGAGGAGCCAUCCUGCAGUACCAUAUAUCUAAACCAUGCGGAGGUUUUGGUGGGCUAUGGGUUUGAGAGAGGAGUUCAUUACUGGAUCAUAAAGAACAGCUGGGGCACUGCCUGGGGAGAGAAUGGCUACAUGAGAAUGAGAAGAGAUGGGAGGAACACCUGUGGCAUCGCCAGCUAUGCCAUGUAUCCACUUAUGUGAACCCAAUUUGCAGUGAUUCAGUGACUCUCAACAACACACC